This 486-nucleotide ribosomal RNA is filed under the name uncultured bacterium. Its description in RNAcentral is "partial 16S ribosomal RNA". It matches the Rfam family "Bacterial small subunit ribosomal RNA", at positions 28 to 507 of the family's 1533-position model. The record is from RNAcentral.
AUUGAACGCUGGCGGCAUGCCUUACACAUGCAAGUCGAACGGCAGCACGGGUGCUUGCCCCUGGUGGCGAGUGGCGCACGGGUGAGUAAUACAUCGGAACAUGUCCUGUCGUGGGGGAUAGCCCUGCGAAAGCCGGCUUAAUACCGCAUACGAUCUCCGGAGGAAAGCGGGGGACCUUCGGGCCUCGCCCUUUUGGGUUGGGCGCUGGCUCAUUCGCUUGUUGGGGGGGUAAAGGCCUACCCAGGGGAUGGUCAGUAGCCGGUCUGAGAGGACGACCCGCGACACUGGGACUGAGACACGGCCCAGACUCCUACGGGAGGCAGCAGUGGGGAAUGUUAGACAAUGGGCGAAAGCCUUAUCCAGCAAUGCCGCGUGUGUGAAGAAGGCCUUCGGGUUGUAAAGCACUUUUGUCCGGAAAGAAAUCCUUGGCCCUAAGACGGUCGGGGGAUGACGGUACCGGAAGAAUAAGCACCGGCUAACUACGUG